UACGAAGGUGGCAAGCGUUGUUCGGAUUUACUGGGCGUAAAGGGCGCGUAGGCGGCGCAACAAGUCACUUGUGAAAUCUCCGGGCUUAACCCGGAGCGGCCAAGUGAUACUGUCGUGCUAGAGUGCGGAAGGGGCUACUGGAAUUCUCGGUGUAGCGGUGAAAUGCGUAGAUAUCGAGAGGAACACCUGCGGCGAAGGCGGGUAGCUGGGCCGACACUGACGCUGAGGCGCGAAAGCCAGGGGAGCGAACGGG
RNAcentral lists this ribosomal RNA (253 nucleotides) under uncultured bacterium. RNAcentral describes it as "partial 16S ribosomal RNA". It matches the Rfam family "Bacterial small subunit ribosomal RNA", at positions 524 to 776 of the family's 1533-position model. The record is from RNAcentral.